Molecule: ribosomal RNA, 544 nt
Filed under: Octopus sp.
Lineage: Eukaryota; Metazoa; Mollusca; Cephalopoda; Octopoda; Octopodidae
Description: partial 16S ribosomal RNA
Rfam family: Bacterial large subunit ribosomal RNA
Source: RNAcentral
GUCUCUUUGAGUUUUUUUAAUGAAGAGUUGGGCCUGCUCGGUGAUUAAUAUYUAACRSCUGCGGUAUUAUAACUGUACUAAGGUAGCAUAAUAAUUUGCUCYAUAAAUUGGGGCUAGAAUGAAUGGUUUGACGAGAAUUUAACUGUCUCUAUUUUAUUUAUUAGAAAUUAAUUUUUAUAGUGAAAAAGCUUUAAUUAUUUAAAGGGACGAAAAGACCCUAUUGAGCUUUUGUUAUUAUAUAGAUAUAUAUAUAUAUAUAUAUAUAUAUGUAUAUAUAUAUGAUUUAUUUGUAAAUAACUUUGGUUGGGGUGAUCAAGGRAUAAAAAUUAAUUUAAAGGGUUUUAUUAACUUCCUUAAUUUUAAAUUUAGUUGAAGAAUAAACCAAGKUUUUUGCUUAGAAGAUAAGUUACCAUAGGGAUAACAGGGGUAAUUUUUUUUGAGAGUUCAUAUUGAAAAAAGAGAUUGCGCCUCGAUGUUGGAUUAAAAUUGACCUUAAGGKGUAGAGGCUUUAUUAGGUAAAUCUGUUCGAUUUUUAAAAUUUUAC